Molecule: ribosomal RNA, 511 nt
Filed under: uncultured bacterium
Lineage: Bacteria
Description: bacterial SSU rRNA
Rfam family: Bacterial small subunit ribosomal RNA
Source: RNAcentral
GAUUAGGGUUUGAUUAUGGCUCAGGAUGAACGCUAGCGGCAGGCUUAACACAUGCAAGUCGAGGGGCAGCGAAUCUAGCUUGCUAGAUGUCGGCGACCGGCGAACGGGUGCGUAACGCGUAUAGAAUCUGCCUUGUACAGGAGGAUAGCCUUUAGAAAUGAAGAUUAAUACUCCAUAAUGUUUAGAGAUGGCAUCGUUUUUAAAUUAAAGAUUUAUUGGUACAAGAUGACUAUGCGUCCUAUUAGCUAGAUGGUAAGGUAACGGCUUACCAUGGCAACGAUAGGUAGGGGGUCUGAGAGGAUUAUCCCCCACACUGGUACUGAGACACGGACCAGACUCCUACGGGAGGCAGCAGUGAGGAAUAUUGGUCAAUGGAGGCAACUCUGAACCAGCCAUGCCGCGUGCAGGAAGACUGCCCUAUGGGUUGUAAACUGCUUUUAUACAGGAAGAAACAGAACUACGUGUAGUUCCUUGACGGUACUGUAAGAAUAAGCACCGGCUAACUCCGUGC